Molecule: long non-coding RNA, 1752 nt
Filed under: Salmo salar (Atlantic salmon)
Lineage: Eukaryota; Metazoa; Chordata; Actinopteri; Salmoniformes; Salmonidae
Description: lncRNA (ENSSSAG00000109635.1)
Source: RNAcentral
GCUGUAUGAGGCUGUGUUGUGCAGGGAGAUGAGGCCUGAUUGUUGUCAUCAGCCCUGUGCUUUAGGAGGGCAGCAUCUCCUUCCAGCAGGACCUGGCUGCCCGUGUCCAAAGACAAGCUAUCAUCAUAGUUCUUCUUGGUGGGGAUACACAGAGAUAGAAGAUGUAUGUAAAGCAUUUUACGUAAAAAGUUACCGUUACACAUAUUGCACGGUACUGACUAGAAGAAGAAAAAAAAGAAGCAACCUAGUUGCCUUCAGUCAAUCAAACAAUAAUCUUUCUAGGGCUAAUAUGAAAGGCACAGGAAGGAAGACUAACCUUGAGCAUCAGCAGAUCUUUUGGCUAUUUGCCCUUGGCUGCAGCCUCAAAGAGAGGGUUGAAAUUCCACAGGUCAGCUAUGUUGACCAAUGCCCCGUUUCUCACCAGCAGCUCAGUGACCUCAUUGUGACAGUAGGAGCAGACACACAGGGACACUACAACACGGAACAUUUAAUUCCCCCCAGAAAUCUCCGGGAACUUGCAGGUACCUUGGUGGAAGUGCGGGGUAACAUCUCACAGCAAGAACUUGCAAAUCCGAUGCAGUCCAUGAGGAGGAGAUGCACUGCAAUACUUAAUGCAGCUGGUGGCCACACCAGAUACUGACUGUUACUUUUGAUUUUGACCCCCCCCUUUGUUCAGGGACACAUUAUUCCAUUUCUGUUAGCCAGAUGUCUGUGGGACUUGUUCAGUUUGUCUCAGUUGUUGAAUCUUAUGUUCAUACAAAUAUUUACACAUGUGAAGUAAGCUGAAAAUAAACGCAGUUGACAGUGGGAGGACGUUUCUUUUUUUGCUGAGUUUAGCUCCCCGACAGUGCAGUAAUAUCUAACAGCUUCACAACAUAUACCCCAAAAUACACAAAUCUAAGUAAUGUAUGGAUUAAGAAUAUAUAUAUAUACACAUGUCAGAGCGGCAUUGGACUAAGAUAGUGGCAUAGUAUAGAGUACAGUAUAUACAUAUGGGAUGGGUGAUGCAAUAUUUACACAAUUAAAGUGACUAAGAUACCGUAGAAUAGUAUAGAGUACAGUUUAUAUAUAUGUGAGAUGAGUAAUGCAAGAUACGUCGACAUUAUUAAUGUGGCUAGCGUUUCAUGUCCUUAAAGUGGCCAGUGAUUCCUAAUCUGUCAAUAGGUCUGUUUUGCAUGUUAUUUAGGCAUUAAUACGUGUCACAUAUCAAUUUGCACUUGGUACCUUGGGUCGAGGCCGGGUUGGCGUGAUUCACUCACGAAACCCCCGUUUCUCGACCGUGCAAAUCGGGGCCAUGUCUUUCCAGAUAAGGAGCGGGCACUCCGCACCACGCGCCUCAGGACAAGACAUGUGACUUGCUUUGCUCUCCGGAGCAGAGCGCCAUUGAAAGGAUUGAUAACUGGAGUGGCGUUAAGUGUUGAGGAGGACAAACUGAAAUGGAAGAUUCCUGGUGUCUGUGACGGCCGCCGUUUGCUGCGACUCAGACCCAGUGGAGAGCGUGGUGAAACACAGAAGAUACUGUCUGCUAAGUUUUGAUGCAAAGUCUUUACCUGACAACGUCAAGUUAGGAUUUGUCAGUUAUCCCGUGAGACUUUUUGUCCCGAAUCAAUUACAGUGUUUUCAUUUCAAGUUGUAUUAGUUGUAUGCAGGGGAUACACAGCAGGUCCGUUCUCGACCAUGCAACAUCUAUUGGUAGAUGGGUAUGAAUUUAAAAAAAACACAUUGAAUAUCCCUUUGAGCAUGGUGAAGUUA